AGUUACAUGUGUUCCCCAUCCUGAUCCGCCCUCCCACCUCCCUCUCCACCCAAUUCCUCUGUGUCUUCCCAGUGCACCAGCCCAGAGCACUUGUCUCAUGCAUCCAACCUGGGCUGGUGAUCUGUUUCACUAUAGAUAUUUAUCUCCAUUUCAUUAGGGCUUUUUUUUCUUCUAGGUUUCUUAUUUUGUUCUUUCAUUUUGAACAUAUUCCUCUGUCAUCUUAUUUUGUGUGAUUGCUCUGUCGUCUCUGUGGAUUUAGGAGGGCCGGUUUACUGCCUGGGUCUUGAAGGAGCGUCCUUGUGUGGGAGUCUCUCUCUGCAGUCUUUGUGUGCCCGCUGGCUUUGGUGGGGUCUCAGAUUCUUGCAGCCCCACCUGUGUCCUGGACCCUCUGCGGUUGCUGCAUCCAGGCCAGGCCCCUUGCUAACAGUGAACCAGGGGAGGUUUCUAUUACCAUUCACUCACUUAUUCACCUAGUUACGUCAUGUAGAGACUAUUUUAAAUCUCAGAUGGUCACUUUUCAGCCACUCAGCAUGACCCUGACUUUAUUCUACUUACUAUCCGGCAGGGUGUGCCCAUUUAAUUCCAUCUUAAAACUGAAGACAGAUGUCAAGAACAGACUUUUGGACUCUGUGGGAGAAGGCGAGGGUGGGAUGAUCUGAGAGAAUAGCAUUGAAACGUGUAUAUUAUCAUAUGUGAAACAGAUCUCCAGUCCAGGUUGGAUGCAUGAGACAGGGUGCUCAGGGCUGGUGCACUGGGAUGACCCUGAGGGAUGGGAUAGGGAGGGAGGUGGGAGGGGGGUUCAGGAUGGGGGACACAUGUACAUCCAUGGCGGAUUCAUGUCAAUGUAUAGCAAAAACCACUACAAUAUUGUAAAGUAAUUAGCCUCCAAUUAAAAUAAAUAAAUUUAAAAAACCCCAAACUGAAGACAGAAUCAAAAGAAGAAUGAGUUUUGAAUGAGGUACAAUCUCUGUUGAUAUAGCCAAGAGAUAGUACUAUUUGAGAAACGGGUAUUUAUUCUGGCCAGAUGAUAUAAACUAGGACGCAGGGUACAAGCUGACCUGUGUGUUGGCGGUCACUCACACCAACACCCCAGGAGAGAUUUCUAUUAUCACGGACAGUGGACAGAACAGACUUUGGGUCAAGAUAGCUCUGGGCUUGAAUUCUCACCCUGUCACUUACAUGCUGCUCAGGCAAUACUCUCUGUGUGUGUAGGUGUGUGUGUGUGUUUAUAGGGGAGAUUUCCAGAAGUGGUUUUGCUGAUCAAAGGAUUAAUGCAUUUAUAAUUGACCAGUUGGACCAUAGUUCCUCCUCAUAGCGCUCUGUGUAAGACACCAGUUCUGUUUUAUUUGAUUCCUUUUCCCCAUUUCUUCUUCCAUCUCCACCACCAAGUAUCCUUCAUACAUUUUCUUUUUUUUUAGAUCUGUGGUUCCUUGAAAAGUAUUUAGUGUCUCUGUGUGUAUGCUUUUAAAUUAUACAUAAGACAGUGCACUGUAUAUUUCCCCUUUUCUUCUGCCAAGAUUGAAAAAUGGCACAGGCUGCUGGCUUCCUUUGCCAGCACCAGUCUGGCAAAACUACAGAUCUGAGGGAGAAACGUGGAUUUGAAGAGCUGACGCAGGGUCCUGCAAGGAGGCAUGAAGCUGAUCUGGGCUAUUCGGCGUGGGUGUGUGGAACAGGCCAGCUCUGCCCUGGAGCAGGGGAUGACUAGUUCUGGAACGGGCUGGGUAGGUUCCUAAGUUCUCCUCUUCCUCUCCUUUGCCCCUUCACCCCAGAAGCCGGAGAUGAGGUGCUCAGGUUCCGGAGGUAAUAGUGCGUGCGUGCUCAGUUGCUCAGUCCAACUGUGUGACCCCACGGACUGUAG
Cervus hanglu yarkandensis (Yarkand deer) is the source of this 1858-nucleotide long non-coding RNA. NCBI's taxonomy places the organism in Eukaryota, Metazoa, Chordata, Mammalia, Artiodactyla, Cervidae. The record is from Ensembl.